AUCAUUACCGAGUGAGGGCCUCCGGGCUCGACCUCCAACCCCAUUGUUGUCCGACCACUGUUGCCUCGGGGGCGACCCGGCCUUCGGGCGGCGGGGCCCCCGGUGGACCAUUAAACUCUGCAUCUUUGACGUCUGAGUACAAAUUGAAUCAAUCAAAACUUUCAACAACGGAUCUCUUGGUUCUGGCAUCGAUGAAGAACGCAGCGAAAUGCGAUAAGUAAUGUGAAUUGCAGAAUUCAGUGAAUCAUCGAAUCUUUGAACGCACAUUGCGCCCCUUGGCAUUCCGAGGGGCAUGCCUGUUCGAGCGUCAUUUCACCACUCAAGCCUGGCUUGGUAUUGGGCGUCGCGUCCGCGCGCGCCUCAAAGUCUCCGGCUGGCCCUCAAUCGUGUCGCAGCGUCGUGAUUAGAUACCCGCUUCGAAUUCCACGUGAGUGCGCUCAUGGGCCGUUAAACACUUUCUACAGGUUGACCUCGGAUCAGG
RNAcentral lists this ribosomal RNA (481 nucleotides) under Austroafricana associata. RNAcentral describes it as "eukaryotic LSU rRNA". The stretch from base 157 to 310 matches the Rfam family "5.8S ribosomal RNA". Lineage: Eukaryota; Fungi; Ascomycota; Dothideomycetes; Mycosphaerellales; Teratosphaeriaceae. The record is from RNAcentral.